RNAcentral lists this ribosomal RNA (432 nucleotides) under uncultured bacterium. RNAcentral's name for it is "partial 16S ribosomal RNA". It matches the Rfam family "Bacterial small subunit ribosomal RNA", at positions 29 to 507 of the family's 1533-position model. The record is from RNAcentral.
ACGAACGCUGGCGGCCUGCCUAACACAUGCCAGUCGAACGAGACCUUCGGGUCUAGUGGCGCACGGGUGCGUAACGCGUGGGAACCUGCCCUUAGGUUCGGAAUAACUCCCCGAAAGGGGUGCUAAUACCGGAUAAUGUCUUCGGACCAAAGAUUUAUCGCCUUUGGAUGGGCCCGCGUUGGAUUAGCUAGUUGGUAGGGUAAAAGCCUACCAAGGCGACGAUCCAUAGCUGGUCUGAGAGGAUGAUCAGCCACACUGGGACUGAGACACGGCCCAGACUCCUACGGGAGGCAGCAGUGGGGAAUAUUGGACAAUGGGCGAAAGCCUGAUCCAGCAAUGCCGCGUGAGUGAUGAAGGCCUUAGGGUUGUAAAGCUCUUUUACCCGGGAUGAUAAUGACAGUACCGGGAGAAUAAGCUCCGGCUAACUCCGUG